UGGGGAAUAUUGCGCAAUGGGGGAAACCCUGACGCAGCGACGCCGCGUGGGCGAUGAAGGCCUUCGGGUCGUAAAGCCCUGUCGAGCGGGACGAAAUGCGUGGGUCCUAACAUGGCCCGCGCUUGACGGUACCGCUGGAGGAAGCCCCGGCUAACUCCGUGCCAGCAGCCGCGGUAAUACGGAGGGGGCUAGCGUUAUUCGGAAUUAUUGGGCGUAAAGGGCGUGUAGGCGGCUUCGUGUGUCCCAUGUGAAAGCCCUCGGCUUAACCGAGGAACUGCAUGGGAAACUGCGGAGCUUGAGUCCGGGAGAGGAGAGCGGAAUUCCCAGUGUAGCGGUGAAAUGCGUAGAUAUUGGGAGGAACACCAGUGGCGAAGGCGGCUCUCUGGACCGGUACUGACGCUGAGACGCGAAAGCCAGGGGAGCAAACGGGAUUAGAUACCCCCGUAGUCC
Molecule: ribosomal RNA, 450 nt
Filed under: uncultured bacterium
Lineage: Bacteria
Description: bacterial SSU rRNA
Rfam family: Bacterial small subunit ribosomal RNA
Source: RNAcentral